CAGUCGCCGCGGUAAUACGUAGGUGGCAAGCGUUGUCCGGAAUUAUUGGGCGUAAAGGGCUCGCAGGCGGCUUCUUAAGUCUGAUGUGAAAGCCCCCGGCUCAACCGGGGAGGGUCAUUGGAAACUGGGAAACUUGAGUGCAGAAGAGGAGAGUGGAAUUCCACGUGUAGCGGUGAAAUGUGUAGAGAUGUGGAGGAACACCAGUGGCGAAGGCGACUCUCUGGUCUGUAACUGACGCUGAGGAGCGAAAGCGUGGGGGGCGAACAGGAUUAGAUACCCCUGUAGUCCCUGUCUCUUAUAC
RNAcentral lists this ribosomal RNA (301 nucleotides) under uncultured bacterium. RNAcentral describes it as "partial 16S ribosomal RNA". It matches the Rfam family "Bacterial small subunit ribosomal RNA", at positions 509 to 807 of the family's 1533-position model. The record is from RNAcentral.